RNAcentral lists this ribosomal RNA (391 nucleotides) under uncultured eukaryote. RNAcentral's name for it is "partial 18S ribosomal RNA". It matches the Rfam family "Eukaryotic small subunit ribosomal RNA", at positions 592 to 976 of the family's 1831-position model. The record is from RNAcentral.
CAAUAGCGUAUAUUAAAGUUGUUGCAGUUAAAAAGCUCGUAGUUGGAUUUCUGGUAUGACGCACCUGGUCCGGGCCUUCGGGUUUCUGUGUACCGGUGUGCGUCUACCAUCCUGUCUGAGACUGUUGCCUACCCUUCACUGUGGCCGGGCGCACCAUCAGACUCGUUUACUUUGAAAAAAUUAGAGUGUUCAAAGCAGGCAUUGGUGCUUUGCAUACAUUAGCAUGGAAUAAUAAGAUAGGACUUCGGCUCUAUUUUGUUGGUUUCUAGGACUGAAGUAAUGAUUGAUAGGGACGGUUGGGGGUGCUUGUAUUCAACGGCCAGAGGUGAAAUUCUUGGAUUCGUUGAAGACAAACUUAUGCGAAAGCAUUCACCAAGGACGUCUUCGUUAA